CAGCCGCCACGGUAAUACGAAGGGUGCAAGCGUUAAUCGGAAUUACUGGGCGUAAAGCGUGCGCAGGCGGACCGCUAAGACAGAUGUGAAAUCCCCGGGCUUAACCUGGGAACUGCAUUUGUGACUGGCGGGCUAGAGUAUGGCAGAGGGGGGUAGAAUUCCACGUGUAGCAGUGAAAUGCGUAGAGAUGUGGAGGAAUACCGAUGGCGAAGGCAGCCCCCUGGGCCAAUACUGACGCUCAUGCACGAAAGCGUGGGGAGCAAACAGGAUUAGAUACCCCGGUAGUCCCUGUCUCUUAUAC
Molecule: ribosomal RNA, 301 nt
Filed under: uncultured bacterium
Lineage: Bacteria
Description: partial 16S ribosomal RNA
Rfam family: Bacterial small subunit ribosomal RNA
Source: RNAcentral